CAGUCGCCGCGGUAACACGAAGGGGGCUAGCGUUGUUCGGAAUUACUGGGCGUAAAGCGCACGUAGGCGGACAUUUAAGUCAGGGGUGAAAUCCCGGGGCUCAACCCCGGAACUGCCUUUGAUACUGGGUGUCUAGAGUAUGGAAGAGGUGAGUGGAAUUCCGAGUGUAGAGGUGAAAUUCGUAGAUAUUCGGAGGAACACCAGUGGCGAAGGCGGCUCACUGGUCCAUUACUGACGCUGAGGUGCGAAAGCGUGGGGAGCAAACAGGAUUAGAUACCCGUGUAGUCCCUGUCUCUUAUAC
This 301-nucleotide ribosomal RNA is filed under the name uncultured bacterium. Its description in RNAcentral is "partial 16S ribosomal RNA". It matches the Rfam family "Bacterial small subunit ribosomal RNA", at positions 509 to 807 of the family's 1533-position model. The record is from RNAcentral.